CACGCACGCACGCACGCACGCACGCACACACACACACACACACACACACACACACAUACACACGUACGCAGACACAAGUGAGAGUGCGCUCCUAACUCCUAGAACCCUUAUGCUGACACCUGUGUAUGCUGGAAACAGAUCAGGGGUCCCAAGUAGGCCAGGCUGGCCUCAGACUCUUACUACAUAGUGUGAAUAUUCUGCCCCCAACAACCAAGUGCUGGUAUUAGUAUCCCAACUACACCAGUGUUACUAGAAGGCAACACUGAAGUUGAAAACAAUAUGGUGUCCUACACCUUCAGUGUCUGUGAAGCUUCAAGACUAUUAUACUUCCUGGCAGUAUGUUCCAGAAGCUGUGAUGUGGCCAACUGCCUGAGUUCCCGUCUUGACUUCCCAGAAAUGAUGGGCAAUAACCUGGGAAACUGUAAGUCAAGACUGUAGCUCAAGGCUAUGCAAGCCUUUAGUAUCCCCUUCCGAAGACGUGCAUCAGGAUCCUAAGACGUUUGUUGCUUUUGUCCAGGUAUUUUAUCAAGAUCAACGAGCAAAGAAACUGAGGCAGGAAGCAGGUAAACAGGCACAGGCAACUGUGGUACGAGUUGGGAGAAUAAGGUAGCUUGUUCAGUGUCUGGCAGACGAGAAGGCAUAGGAGAUGGUGUUGAUGUGAUUUUUAAUUCCUUCAUUAUGUGCCCUGGCAGUGAGAGGGCCCUGUGAAGAGAUCAUAAUCGCUUUGUCCUCAGAGAAAGCAAGUUUGUUGGCUCCACGUAUAAGUGGCCAGUCAGUCAUUUCGAUUGAGUGAAUCCUUAAAUGAAGGGAUUCUUAGUGUUCAGUGUGGACUGGGCUGGGGGCUGGUCUCCUUUUGGGCAGGGAUCCUUUAUGUCUUUGGUCACUUCAUAUUGUAUUACUUUCUAAAAAAUCUGACCCGAGGAAGAACCACCUAGGGGUAGGAUGGAAAGCUUUCACUCCUUGGGAGUCACAAAAGUGACAGUUCAUCAUCCCACCCCUCCCAUAGAACCUGGAUCGAAAGUUGCCUCUGGAAAGCAAAGACGCUAAGAUUUCAGUCUCCAACGUGCGCUGGCCAUGUCCUUGUGGUUUGCCAGUGCAUUGGUUUUGCAAUUAAAGGCUGAAUUGGGCUCGAAAGGAAACAGUGAGUCUGACCUUGGAGGAUGUCCUGUUCUCAACCCCACUGAGUCAUCCAAGAAUUUAUGAGCCAGGACUCAGAAAACACAGUCUAAAAUGAGAUUGCUUGAUGGGUAAAGGCGUUUGCCACAGACUGCUGGCCUGAGUUCAAUCCCCAGAACGCACAUGUAGAAGAGGAAAGAAAGAACCAACUCCUAAAAGAAAACUCUUUUUUUCCAUCACUUGAAAGUACUUCCUGCUGUUGCACCAGAGAGAUUCUGAGAAAGAAUUCUACAAUGAUAGAAUGACCUUCUGUCUGCAUUGUACAUUAUGCAAAUGAAACAGCUUGGUUUCCUAUCUCUUGGUCAGCUGAAGUAUCAAGAUAUCUCUGUUCUCUGCAUUCAAGACCAGAGAAGCCGAAUCCUUGACAUCUAAGCAAGUGGGAAGGAAACAGACACCUGGCCAUGGUAACUAUCUAAACACCUGCCCUCUGCCGCUAAAGGGCAUCUUUUUCUGCCAGAAUCUGCUGUGUAUCGUGGAGGAGAAGAUUUGCCAGAGUGUAAAUGGGCCCUUGGUUCUGA
RNAcentral lists this long non-coding RNA (1694 nucleotides) under Mus musculus (house mouse). RNAcentral describes it as "predicted gene, 36235". Lineage: Eukaryota; Metazoa; Chordata; Mammalia; Rodentia; Muridae. The record is from RNAcentral.